RNAcentral lists this ribosomal RNA (468 nucleotides) under uncultured bacterium. RNAcentral's name for it is "partial 16S ribosomal RNA". It matches the Rfam family "Bacterial small subunit ribosomal RNA", at positions 28 to 507 of the family's 1533-position model. The record is from RNAcentral.
GACGAACGCUGGCGGCGUGCUUAACACAUGCAAGUCGAACGGAAAGGCCCUGCUUUUGUGGGGUGCUCGAGUGGCGAACGGGUGAGUAACACGUGAGUAACCUGCCCUUGACUUUGGGAUAACUUCAGGAAACUGGGGCUAAUACCGGAUAGGAGCUCCUGCUGCAUGGUGGGGGUUGGAAAGUUUCGGCGGUUGGGGAUGGACUCGCGGCUUAUCAGCUUGUUGGUUGGGUAGUGGCUUACCAAGGCUUUGACGGGUAGCCGGCCUGAGAGGGUGACCGGCGACAAUGGGACUGAGAGACGGCCCAGACUCCUACGGGAGGCAGCAGUGGGGAAUAUUGCACAAUGGGCGGAAGCCUGAUGCAGCGACGCCGCGUGCGGGAUGACGGCCUUCGGGUUGUAAACCGCUUUCGCCUGUGACGAAGCGUGAGUGACGGUAAUGGGUAAAGAAGCACCGGCUAACUACGUG